Long non-coding RNA from Lathyrus oleraceus (garden pea), 957 nucleotides. RefSeq lists it as uncharacterized. NCBI's taxonomy places the organism in Eukaryota, Viridiplantae, Streptophyta, Magnoliopsida, Fabales, Fabaceae. The record is from RefSeq and is a predicted model, not a curated record. The transcript is spliced from 2 exons.
UUAUUGCAAAGCCCAUCGGUGGGGGUGUAUUGCCAGGGAUAGGAGGUGCAAGAAUGAAUUGCUUGGACCGAAGGCUUAACUCUAGAAACCCUUAUGUAUGACGAAACUGGGUUCGCUGUGAGAAACCAUGGCCAUGUGCGUAACCUGAAAAACUUAGCUCAACAAAUUCUCCCUCAAUCUUGCGCAACCCUUAACCUGGCUUCUGAUUAUCCCGUACAAACAACCGCGUAACCAACAGAAAAAGGAGAAUACAAAACUCACCUCGGCAGUAUGAUUUUCUGUUCUUGGUGGAUCGGGAUGAAGAGAGCUUUGCUUGGAUCCCGUGUGCGGGCGCAACAUUGUGGUUGAUAGCGGAUGGAUCGCCGCGCGGUUCUUCGUCUUGGCAGAGUAGUGUUAUGAUGACGAAUAGGUGGCGUUUGUUGAUUGAUAAUGAAGAGAACAUAUCGAUUAUCGAUGCGUGAUGAAAUUGCGUUGAAGGAUGAAUUUAGACUCGAAUCAUUGUGUGGCAAUAAUGAUUGAAAGUGGAAUUGCGCAACAGAUUGGAGAUGAAGCCUUCUCCAAGGUCGGUUACUCGGUGUUGUCGUUUUGAUUUACUUGGAUUGCAUUUGUCGUUGGAGUUGGCUUGUAUGCAGCUGGCUUGCGCGUUUCUGCCACCGUGUUGCCUUUGUCAUUUCGAUUGAUGUCGUCGUGUGACUGCGGUGUUUCGGAAUUGCAGCUUCGACGGUACCUGGUGCGUUGGUGUGUAUGCAGCAUUGUGGUUUCUGAUGCAGCUUUUCACUUUUGCUUUUUUUUCAUUUUGUUUCAUUUUCUUGUAUUGGAUGCUAUUGGAUACUGAUUGGUAAAUGGAUUUUAUCAAGUGGAUUUAAGAGAUUUGUAAAUGGAUAAUGGAUUAUGUAAAUGGUUUAAUAUUAUGGUUGUCAAUUGGUUAUGAAAUGGAUAGUUGGUUUUGGAUUGUGA